CUCCACUCUAAGUUUCUUUGCAAAUCAGGA
RNAcentral lists this non-coding RNA (30 nucleotides) under Mus musculus (house mouse). Lineage: Eukaryota; Metazoa; Chordata; Mammalia; Rodentia; Muridae. The record is from RNAcentral.